Pelobates cultripes (western spadefoot toad) is the source of this 297-nucleotide non-coding RNA. The record is from the annotation of a GenBank genome assembly. Lineage: Eukaryota; Metazoa; Chordata; Amphibia; Anura; Pelobatidae.
CCCACAUAUGGAAAUACUUAAAAUAUUUAAAAACAUAAAUGUGCAUAAUUCACCUUACAUUAAUUUUCUUUAACUGCUGUAGCACCUUGUCUUGGGUCAUCCAAUCACAAGUUAUCUGCAAGCUUUUUGCAGCAGUCAUUUGCAUAUGUCUUAUCAUAGGAUUCUCAUUAAUAUAUACUGGAAAAAAAUUGUUAUUUAAAAUUUCUGCCUUUUCCUCGUCUUCAUUAACUAACACUCCCAUCUCUGUUUUCAAUGUACCUACACUUUCAUUUUUUGUUUUUUCAGCAUUGGUGUACU